RNAcentral lists this ribosomal RNA (539 nucleotides) under uncultured bacterium. RNAcentral's name for it is "partial 16S ribosomal RNA". It matches the Rfam family "Bacterial small subunit ribosomal RNA", at positions 355 to 905 of the family's 1533-position model. The record is from RNAcentral.
UGGGGAAUUUUGGACAAUGGGCGAAAGCCUGAUCCAGCAAUGCCGCGUGAGGGAUGACGGCCUUCGGGUUGUAAACCUCUUUCAGCAGGGAAGAAGCGAAAGUGACGGUACCUGCAGAAGAAGCGCCGGCUAACUACGUGCCAGCAGCCGCGGUAAUACGUAGGGCGCAAGCGUUGUCCGGAAUUAUUGGGCGUAAAGAGCUCGUAGGCGGUUAGUCGCGUCUGCUGUGAAAACUCGAGGCUCAACCUCGGGCUUGCAGUGGGUACGGGCUGACUAGAGUGCGGUAGGGGUGACUGGAAUUCCUGGUGUAGCGGUGGAAUGCGCAGAUAUCAGGAGGAACACCGAUGGCGAAGGCAGGUCACUGGGCCGCAACUGACGCUGAGGAGCGAAAGCAUGGGGAGCGAACAGGAUUAGAUACCCUGGUAGUCCAUGCCGUAAACGUUGGGCACUAGGUGUGGGUCCAUUCCACGGAUUCCGUGCCGCAGCAAACGCAUUAAGUGCCCCGCCUGGGGAGUACGGCCGCAAGGCUAAAACUUAAA